Molecule: small RNA, 28 nt
Filed under: Bombyx mori (domestic silkworm)
Lineage: Eukaryota; Metazoa; Arthropoda; Insecta; Lepidoptera; Bombycidae
Description: ovarian small RNA-6793
Source: RNAcentral
UCAAUGCCGUGGUGGUGGUUGGACCCUA